RNAcentral lists this unclassified non-coding RNA (389 nucleotides) under uncultured Mortierella. RNAcentral describes it as "partial contains 5.8S ribosomal RNA, internal transcribed spacer 2, and large subunit ribosomal RNA". The stretch from base 1 to 102 matches the Rfam family "5.8S ribosomal RNA", at positions 53 to 154 of the family's 154-position model. The record is from RNAcentral. Lineage: Eukaryota; Fungi; Mortierellomycota; Mortierellomycetes; Mortierellales; Mortierellaceae.
AUGCGAUACGUAAUGUGAAUUGCAGAAUUCAGUGAAUCAUCGAAUCUUUGAACGCAUAUUGCGCUCUUUGGUAUUCCGAAGAGCAUGCUUGUUUGAGUAUCAGUAAACACCUCAACCAGAUUUCUUUCUGGAUGGAUUUGAGCAAACCCAACACUCUUUCACGAGGGCGGCGGGUUGCUUGAAAUGCAGGUGCAGCUGUAACAAGAACAGACUGAGCUAAAAGCAUAUCUAAUUUAGUCCGUCUCGGCGGAUUAUUACCAUUUGCUGCAGCUACUCUAAGGUCCUCUUGUCGAGCUGACUGAUGCAGGAUUUGUCAGAUUGCACACUCUCGGGUGUGAGUUCUUUCAAAACUCGAUCUCAAAUCAAGUAAGACUACCCGCUGAACUUAA